AGAAAAUAGAGGAACAAACAGGAA
This 24-nucleotide small nuclear RNA is filed under the name Arabidopsis thaliana (thale cress). Its description in RNAcentral is "snRNA_10822". Lineage: Eukaryota; Viridiplantae; Streptophyta; Magnoliopsida; Brassicales; Brassicaceae. The record is from RNAcentral.